UCCCUUAGAUUUGAGGUAUACGUACCCUAGAAAGGAACAUGAAUCUAACAUUAAAACAAUAACAAUGCCUGUCGCAAAUAAGAUUUUGUUACACGGCUUUGGUUUAGCAGCAGUUUAGGAUUUAUUAAUAUUUUUGAGAUAAAUCACAAGAUUAGGUUGUAUAAUUAUUAACAGCACUUCAUCAUCAGCCAAUUUAACUGAGAGAUUCAGUGGAAUUUGUUACAAUCAAAAUAUUGACUUAGUUAAAGAUUCAGGAAUGGUAAGGGUCGCACAAAACUCACAGCAGGGUGGCACGCACAGAUGGGGGUUAAAUCAAAUCACACAUACAGCCAGGCAGACAAAUAAUCCUGAAUCAAAUUACACACACAGAGACAGACAAGUAGUUCUGAACCCAUUGCGCACACACACACAGAGGUUAACCUAUGAUUAAAAUUUCCUUUUCUGUGAGUUUCAUAAAUUGCUCACUUUUAUGUGUCGGCAUUCAUCAACAGGCAGCCGGUGAACCUAGUGAAAUCAGGCCUUUAAGUCCUCAUGAAAUCGUCGUCGGACGAACUUUCAAUCUUUGUGAAAUCUACGCUGAGAGGCGUCCCAGCUCGGGGGGAGGUACUGGCUCAUGCAGCCUGCUGCCGUCCCAGAGAGCUCAAAGGGUCUCACUUUUGGAUCGCUAUUUAUAGGACCUUGAGAUGAUUCACUUUGGAACUCAACUAAAAGUUUUGUUAAAGGAGAAUAUAAAAAGUGCACUCAUUGAAAUGAAGAUUUGAGAAAACCAGCAAGAAUCUCAGCCUCUUAUUUUGUAAAUAUACACAAAAUCUUGGCACUCGUCCAUUUUUUCUUAACUGCAGCUUAAACCAUAACUAUUGUAAUAGGCUUCAAGAAAUGCCUGCAUUGACAUUUCUGUCUCCCAGGGAGGGGGCAAUGGAUGGAAAUCAUCUUAUGCUACAUCUGAGUAAGUCACUCAAGAUUCCUUUGCCAGUCAGUGGAGAUUCAUCGCUCCCUAAAGCAGGUAUUUAAAACAGGUCUGGUGAUUCAUGCUCUAGAAGUGCCUAUGUUUCUUCUUGACUAGAAAGGGAUAGCUGAAAGGUAUAGGUGAAAUGAAGCUAUAUAUACAGUCAGGUGAGAUGGAUCCUACCACAGGGUAUUACUAUGACCUGAACUCAUUCCAGAAAAUAAAAGAGAAAUUUUACCUUCACACACAUUACCCACGCACACGCAAAAAUCUAGAAGCCAAAUUCAAUCUCUUGUUCCUUUACUGAGCCUAGCAUAUUAAAAUCCUAGUUUCAGUGAGAAUUGCUGGAAGUUUUAUCAAACCAAAGAGAAAAUGCUGAAGGCCAAAGAGGGAAAAAUACACCUUUUCAUUUUUAUUGUGCGUUUCUUCUCAAGGUAGAAAUCCUAGUUGGAGUUAAGCCUUAGCACACGAUUAGUUUUGGAGAAGACAAGGCAAAGCUUAUGCCUAAAUUGGAGCUUAUACCUAAACACUGUGAAGGAAAGCUUUUGCUUUGGAUUUAUAUAAAUUUAGAAUUCAGAGUGCUUAGAAAGAGCGUUGCUUCCAGCAGAGCAACUCUCAGGGAAGUAGCUUUUCUAUACAAGCUUAUGUCAGAAACAUAAGCAAUUUUAUAACUGAAAUAAUUAUGCAGUGAUCCUGUUUAGGCUCCAGUGUAUACCUAUGACUUGUUAAAUGGAUCACUGCUUUCUGUGUUCUUGCCAAAAUCUCUACUCCAGUUGCUUCCAAGCUCCCUCAUCUACAACUACCACAUACGCCUAAUCCUGGAAAGUUGUUCAGACCUUCCCACCAUGUUGGUGUGUCAUUGUCUUGUAGUCUGCACGGCUGUAGAGUGUCUUCUCCUGUGUAUGUUUCUCCUGUGGCAUCCUGGAACAUAUGUAAAUGUCUCUUUGUUGGCCUUGGCGUUCGGUGUACUACUCACCAACAAAUCAAUGUAACUGCCUGCUGCAGGAGGAACCUCAGAGCCUACCACAGGAGUCAUGGCAGGUCAGAUACCUCCAAAGAAGGACCCAAAUCAGGCAGGACAUUGCUUAGAGAGCUGCCUUAGCCAGCAGCAGGAAAUGGUGGCCACCACGCAGCAUCUGAAAUGAUGCACCUCCUCAGGCCUCUUCAUGAGGAAGGAGCUGUACCUGCUCAGGAUCCACCAGGCAGUGCCUGGCUUCAGCCUCUGUGCCUCAGGGCUGAUGCUCCUCUGGCAGCCUCCAGGGAUCCAAAGCCCUGUCCCUCGCUCUGAAGGAGCAGCUCUGCUCUCUGGCUAUAGGAGAACCUGGCUGGAAAUACUCAUCCCUGCACUGAAGCCAACGUAGCAAGUGCCAAGAGCCUCAGGGCUGGCCAGGCAGGAGCUGUGAGUCACAGCAAGGCUGGUGGGGUCAAUGGCCUGACAGGCCAGGACGCAGUCCCACAGGCCCUGAGCAAGAAGAGCAGAGCAGGUCCUGUGAUGGCAAACAGGGUCAACCAAGAAUGCUCCAAGGCUGCACAGCUGCACCACAUCAGCACCAGCCCUGAGCCAACUCAAAAAAACCCCUGGAGGUCAAGGAUGCGCUCAGGACCCUAACAAGGCAGUGACAAAUAAUGCACUUUUCAUCAUUGUUUCAUACAGAGGUGCAUCAAUCCUGCAACCUGCUCCAAGUACCCAUGUACCACUGCACUUGGUCCCUUCCCAGCUGCCGUUUUCACAGGGAUGCAGGGAUAGAAGCAGCCCCAGCCCAAGAGGGCCGUGGCCUCCACCUGCUCACCUUCACAUCAGAGGAGCUAGAGAGAAGGUGCUCUCUGAGGGGCAGCAAGGGUUGGGUCAGAUGUCAGCACUGCAGAGGAGAACCAAAAAAUGAGGACUAAGGAGCUAAAAUUCUUCCUGCCCCACAGCAAGUCAGUCUGGACCAUACUCUCUUAAGAUACCCUGGCCUCAGCUUGUUCCUUCAUGAUCCCAUGAAAUAUAGAAGAUGAUGUAAAAUAAGAAUUUAACAGAGAAGCACUAGCCCAGCAUGAUCCUAGUCUCAGCAAUUUAGCAGACAAAAUGCAUACAUUGGGAAGGAGUGGUAUCAUUCUUUCUCUUAAUUAAUACUUUCUCCAGGCUGCAGCUGAGUAACAAUGAAA
Grus americana (Whooping crane) is the source of this 3094-nucleotide long non-coding RNA. RefSeq lists it as uncharacterized. The record is from RefSeq and is a predicted model, not a curated record. Lineage: Eukaryota; Metazoa; Chordata; Aves; Gruiformes; Gruidae. The transcript has 2 exons.